CAGUAGCCGCGGUAAAACGAGGGGAGCUAGCGUUAUUCGGAAUUACUGGGCGUAAAGCGCACGUAGGCGGCUUUGUAAGUUAGAGGUGAAAGCCCAGAGCUCAACUCUGGAAUUGCCUUUAAGACUGCAUCGCUUGAAUCCAGGAGAGGUGAGUGGAAUUCCGAGUGUAGAGGUGAAAUUCGUAGAUAUUCGGAAGAACACCAGUGGCGAAGGCGGCUCACUGGACUGGUAUUGAUGCUGAGGUGCGAAAGCGUGGGGAGCAAACAGGAUUAGAUACCCCAGUAGUCCGUCUCUUAUACAC
This 301-nucleotide ribosomal RNA is filed under the name uncultured bacterium. Its description in RNAcentral is "partial 16S ribosomal RNA". It matches the Rfam family "Bacterial small subunit ribosomal RNA", at positions 509 to 809 of the family's 1533-position model. The record is from RNAcentral.